GAUGAAGAACGCAGCGAAAUGCGAUAAGUAGUGUGAAUUGCAGAAUUCAGUGAAUCAUCGAAUCUUUGAACGCACAUUGCGCCCCUCGGUAUUCCGUGGGGCAUGCCUGUUCGAGCGUCAUUUAACCCCUCAAGCCUAGCUUGGUAUUGGGUGCUUGUCCCGCCUCUCGCGCGGCGACUCACCUCAAAGUCAUUGGCAGCCCGCAUCUCGCCGGCCGCGAGCGCAGCACAGACGCGCUCUUGGCAACGACGGAUCGGCUCUCCAAAAGCUUAUUUCAACCACUGACCUCGGAUCAGGUAGGGAUACCCGCUGAACUUAAGCAUAUCAAUAAGAGGAGGA
This 339-nucleotide unclassified non-coding RNA is filed under the name soil metagenome. RNAcentral describes it as "partial contains 5.8S ribosomal RNA, internal transcribed spacer 2, and large subunit ribosomal RNA". The stretch from base 1 to 120 matches the Rfam family "5.8S ribosomal RNA", at positions 35 to 154 of the family's 154-position model. The record is from RNAcentral.